GGCGAAUCUCAGGAUUGUCCGGGAUUCACUUUCCUUAAUCUGAGGGAACAUAGAUUCUGCCAUUUCGUCUGUGAACAGCCAGUGUAUAGGAAGUGUGCGCGUUUGUUAGUUUAUUCGUUUGUCUAAUAAAUUAGUAGUAAAGUGUGCGUAGCCAGGAUUUGUGUGCGAUAGUUAAGAUAAAGCCAACGAUAUAAGCCGUUUGGCUAUUUUCAUUCGCAGCAAUCAGACUCGCACCCAAGCGUGCGAAUUUCCUCCCCUCCACGGACGAAAGCAUUCCCAGCAACCGUCAACCCGCUGGAAGCCGGACGAUCCGCCAACAUAUCGUCCGGGCGAGGCCCAGGGGACCUCCACUUGGACAGGGUCUGUAAAUCGGUCCGCUUCAGCCAUCGUCAACAGCCAUCGCGAUCUGCCACCGCGUGUCGCCAUCGCUGCAUCGCCGCUGCUAGAGCGGGCAAGCCAACCGCCAUCGUCCAAGCAGGCGCUUGGCGUCAUCGUCGCCGCUCGAGACGGGCACAUUGACCUGCCCGUAGGUCAACGACUGGGCCGGUAAGCCAUCAGAAUCCGGUGAGUCCAUCCAGUGGAAGUUUUUCUUUUUGUGGAGUGGGGCGUCCGCUGAGGGCGCCUCGGAGUUGUUGUUUUUUGUCCAGUCAAAAGACUGAAGGAAUGUGCCCAUAAAGCCAUUCACAAAAUUGGUGACACCGUGAAGCGUGCGUGACGAAUUGCCGCCGCUAGAACUUCUUGUCACCAGGAGCGCAGACUAGCCCACCAAUGCGCUGCUAGAAAAGUGACGUCACAUCAAGAACACAAAUAGCACGUGAGCACAAGAGAGUUAGACAGGGAGAGAACAAGCACACAUA
Armigeres subalbatus is the source of this 857-nucleotide long non-coding RNA. RefSeq lists it as uncharacterized. The transcript has 3 exons. The record is from RefSeq and is a predicted model, not a curated record. Lineage: Eukaryota; Metazoa; Arthropoda; Insecta; Diptera; Culicidae.